GGUCAAGCUACUAAGGGCGCAUGGGGGAUGUCUUGGCGUCGGAAGGCGAUGAAGGGCGUGGAAGUCUGCGAAAAGCCCGGGGGAGCUGACAAACGAGCGUUGAUCCCGGGAUUCCCGAAUCGGCACACGCU
This 131-nucleotide ribosomal RNA is filed under the name Planctomycetaceae bacterium. Its description in RNAcentral is "partial 23S ribosomal RNA". It matches the Rfam family "Bacterial large subunit ribosomal RNA", at positions 1 to 131 of the family's 2925-position model. The record is from RNAcentral. Lineage: Bacteria; Pseudomonadati; Planctomycetota; Planctomycetia; Planctomycetales; Planctomycetaceae.